AAGAUACUCCCUCCGUCCAAAAUUCUUGUCUUAGAUUUGUUUAGAUACGAGUGUAUCUAGUCAAGUUUUAGUACUUAGAUACAAUAAUUUCUAGAUAAAGUUAAGACAAGAAUUUUGGGACGGAGGGAGUAGUAG
Molecule: microRNA precursor, 135 nt
Filed under: Hordeum vulgare
Lineage: Eukaryota; Viridiplantae; Streptophyta; Magnoliopsida; Poales; Poaceae
Description: microRNA MIR1122
Rfam family: MIR1120/MIR1122 microRNA precursor family
Source: RNAcentral